This 156-nucleotide ribosomal RNA is filed under the name Trichosporon asahii. Its description in RNAcentral is "5.8S ribosomal RNA". It matches the Rfam family "5.8S ribosomal RNA". From Rfam's summary of the family: 5.8S ribosomal RNA (5.8S rRNA) is a component of the large subunit of the eukaryotic ribosome. RNAcentral also lists the same sequence under 9 other names. The record is from RNAcentral. Lineage: Eukaryota; Fungi; Basidiomycota; Tremellomycetes; Trichosporonales; Trichosporonaceae.
AAACUUUCAACAACGGAUCUCUUGGCUCUCGCAUCGAUGAAGAACGCAGCGAAUUGCGAUAAGUAAUGUGAAUUGCAGAAUUCAGUGAAUCAUCGAAUCUUUGAACGCAGCUUGCGCUCUCUGGUAUUCCGGAGAGCAUGCCUGUUUCAGUGUCAU